GAAAUCCAUUGCGCUUUUAUUGUAUGAGGUGUCACAAUGAAUGUGGUUGCAGCUUUUAGCAACGAGUUUUGCGUUAUUAUGUACCAACAGUCACGAUAUAAAUAUGAAUCAUUGUUGGCGUUAACAUCGAAACCACCGACACAUUUUCCAUGUUGUUGAAAUUUACAUACACCCCUAUCAUGCAUUUCGAUUACGUUGCCGCUCUACGCUCCGCCGGAGUCAAAAGUAGGUAUCAUGCGUUGCAAUUGGAUUGAAAGAAGAAGAGGAAGAGCUAUAACUCUUUCGAAAUCAGCUGUUUGCUUUGAAAUAUGUGAAACUGGAACAUAGCAAAGCAAAAAUGCGCAAAUUACUGCUGUUCAAAGAAAAUAAAUAAAAGUAAAAUUUUUAUAUUGUUAUUAUUUUUAUUAAACGUAAGUAUGGAAUCUUUAUCCGCGGAGAUAUUACUGGUUGAGGAGGAGAGCAGCGCAUCUCAGAAUGCUGGCGUGAGAAUUGAAAGAAGAAGAUUACAAGAUAUGUGCGAUCGCUCCAGAUGAAUGACGGGCUAUUCAAAACAAACUUUCGUCUGCAUAAGGACGCAUUCAAGUAUGUCCUAGAUACGUUUGCGGAAGAAACGACGGCAAGUACUUUGUCCUCGUUAUCUCCGCUUAACAUUGUAGUAUCCGCUUUAAGAUUUUUUGCGGAAGGCAGUUACCAGCAUGGAGUUGGCGCAGACCACAAUGUUGGAAUGGCACAGUCAACCGUGUCAAAGUGGCUGUGAAAUUUUCUCAAAAUAAUGCAGCAAGAGCUAUGCCGAGAGUGGAUAAAACAAGAUUUUCUUACGAAAGCUGGUUUCCCAGGUGUUAUCAUGUGCGUUGAUGGUUCGCACAUAAAGCUAAUCAAGCCAUCCGAUGAACCUUUUCCUUAUUAUAAUAGAAAAAGAUUUUAUAGCAUCAAUGCUAUGGUGGUGUGCGUUCACAAAUUACGAAUAAGAAGCAUUGACCCAUUACAACCUUGGCUAAUGACUCCGUAUCGUUCCGUAAGUCAAGACAGCCGACAAAGUAAUUAUAACAUAAAGCACUCCAAAACUAGAAAUAUUAUAGAGCGAACGAUCGGUGUUUUAAAGAACCGCUUUCGAUGUUUGUUGGGAGCUCGAGAGCUGCAUUACUCGCCUCAAAAAGCGAGUCAAAUUAUAAAUGUUGCUUGUGCACUACACAAUAUUUGCAUUUUCUACAAAGUAGAAGAUUUGAACCCGAUAGAAUUUGAUAAUG
Molecule: long non-coding RNA, 1247 nt
Organism: Bactrocera neohumeralis
Lineage: Eukaryota; Metazoa; Arthropoda; Insecta; Diptera; Tephritidae
Exons: 3
Source: RefSeq, a predicted model, not a curated record